UACGUAGGGGGCAAGCGUUGUCCGGAUUUAUUGGGCGUAAAGAGCGUGUAGGCGGUCUGGUAGGUCCGUUGUGAAAACUCGAGGCUCAACCUCGAGACGCCGAUGGAAACCGUCAGACUAGAGUCCGGAAGAGGAGAGUGGAAUUCCUGGUGUAGCGGUGAAAUGCGCAGAUAUCAGGAAGAACACCCGUGGCGAAGGCGGCUCUCUGGGACGGUACUGACGCUGAGACGCGAAAGCGUGGGGAGCGAACAGG
Molecule: ribosomal RNA, 253 nt
Filed under: uncultured bacterium
Lineage: Bacteria
Description: partial 16S ribosomal RNA
Rfam family: Bacterial small subunit ribosomal RNA
Source: RNAcentral